This is a small nuclear RNA of Marmota flaviventris (yellow-bellied marmot), 107 nucleotides long. The record is from RefSeq and is a predicted model, not a curated record. Lineage: Eukaryota; Metazoa; Chordata; Mammalia; Rodentia; Sciuridae.
GUGCUUUCUUCAGCAGCACAUACACUAAAAUUGGAGUGAUACAGAGAAGAUUAGCAUGGCCCCUGCACAAGGAUGACACAGAAAUUCAUGAAGCAUUCCAUAAAAAU